CCUACGGGCGGCUGCAGUAGGGAAUCUUCCACAAUGGGCGCAAGCCUGAUGGAGCAACGCCGCGUGGGUGAAGAAGGUCUUCGGAUCGUAAAACCCUGUUGUUAGAGAAGAAAGUGCGUGAGCGUAACUGUUCACGUUUCGACGGUAUCUAACGAGUAAGCCACGGCUAACUACGUGCCAGCAGCCGCGGUAAUACGUAGGUGGCAAGCGUUAUCCGGAUUUAUUGGGCGUAAAGGGAACGCAGGCGGUCAUUUAAGUCUGAUGUGAAAUCCUUGGGCUUAACCGGAGUAGUGCAUUGGAAACUGGGAGACUAGAGUGCAGAAGAGGGGAGUGGAACUCCAUGUGUAGCAGUGAAAUGCAUAGAUAUUACACAGAACACCGAUUGCGAAGGCAGCUUGCUAGGCCGGAUCUGACACUGAUGCACGAAAGCGUGGGGAUCGAACAGGAUUAGAUACCCCGGUAGUC
Molecule: ribosomal RNA, 465 nt
Filed under: uncultured bacterium
Lineage: Bacteria
Description: partial 16S ribosomal RNA
Rfam family: Bacterial small subunit ribosomal RNA
Source: RNAcentral